RNAcentral lists this ribosomal RNA (450 nucleotides) under uncultured bacterium. Its description in RNAcentral is "partial 16S ribosomal RNA". It matches the Rfam family "Bacterial small subunit ribosomal RNA", at positions 354 to 796 of the family's 1533-position model. The record is from RNAcentral.
GUGGGGAAUAUUGGACAAUGGGCGAAAGCCUGAUCCAGCCAUGCCGCGUGCAGGAUGAAGGCCUUCGGGUUGUAAACUGCUUUUGUACGGAACGAAAAGACUCCUUCUAAUAAAGGGGGUCCAUGACGGUACCGUAAGAAUAAGCACCGGCUAACUACGUGCCAGCAGCCGCGGUAAUACGUAGGGUGCAAGCGUUAAUCGGAAUUACUGGGCGUAAAGCGUGCGCAGGCGGUUAUAUAAGACAGAUGUGAAAUCCCCGGGCUCAACCUGGGAACUGCAUUUGUGACUGUAUAGCUAGAGUACGGUAGAGGGGGAUGGAAUUCCGCGUGUAGCAGUGAAAUGCGUAGAUAUGCGGAGGAACACCGAUGGCGAAGGCAAUCCCCUGGACCUGUACUGACGCUCAUGCACGAAAGCGUGGGGAGCAAACAGGAUUAGAAACCCCUGUAGUCC